Long non-coding RNA from Dreissena polymorpha, 285 nucleotides. RefSeq lists it as uncharacterized. The transcript has 3 exons. NCBI's taxonomy places the organism in Eukaryota, Metazoa, Mollusca, Bivalvia, Myida, Dreissenidae. The record is from RefSeq and is a predicted model, not a curated record.
AGUUACAGACGGUCUGUUGCCAAAUGGGAAUCAUUACAGUGAUAAUGAAUACUCAGAGACAGACGAUUUGAAUACGGACCUGAUGAACACUUUCGCAGUAAAGGAAGAAAUGAAAGGUAAUCCAUUGCAAAAAGUUGAACAUACACUUCAAGACCUCAGUUACGAUGUCAAGAAUACUAUCAAAAAAGACUUAUAUGACGGCUGGUUGAUCACUCUACAUAAAGAUGUUAUUGCCGUGUUAAACAAACAGCCGCACGAUGUUAAAAAGGGUGGAAAUGGGGAAGU